Molecule: ribosomal RNA, 661 nt
Filed under: uncultured bacterium
Lineage: Bacteria
Description: bacterial SSU rRNA
Rfam family: Bacterial small subunit ribosomal RNA
Source: RNAcentral
AGUGGCGGACGGGUGAGUAACGCGUGAGAAUCUGCCUUGGGGUCGGGGACAACCACUGGAAACGGUGGCUAAUACCGGAUAAGCCGAUUGGUGAAAGAUUUAUUGCCCGAAGAGGAGCUCGCGUCUGAUUAGCUAGUUGGUGAGGUAAGAGCUCACCAAGGCAGCGAUCAGUAGCUGGUCUGAGAGGACGAUCAGCCACACUGGGACUGAGACACGGCCCAGACUCCUACGGGAGGCAGCAGUGGGGAAUUUUCCGCAAUGGGCGAAAGCCUGACGGAGCAAGACCGCGUGAGGGAGGAAGGCUCUUGGGUUGUAAACCUCUUUUCUCAGGGAAGAAGCUCUGACGGUACCUGAGGAAUCAGCCUCGGCUAACUCCGUGCCAGCAGCCGCGGUAAUACGGAGGAGGCAAGCGUUAUCCGGAAUUAUUGGGCGUAAAGCGUCUGGCAGGUGGCGAUUCAAGUCUGCUGUCAAAGCACGGGGCUUAACUCCGUAAAGGCAGUGGAAACUGAAUAGCUAGAGUGCCGUAGGGGUAGAGGGAAUUCCCGGUGUAGCGGUGAAAUGCGUAGAGAUCGGGAAGAACAUCGGUGGCGAAAGCGCUCUACUGGACGGCAACUGACACUCAGGGACGAAAGCUAGGGGAGCGAAUGGGAUUAGAUACCCC